GACCUUUUGGUAUUUACCAUAGGCUGUGUUCUUUCAUUGACUAUAUGGAAAGUGGAGGCAAAGUAAACCUGCCCCAUGUACACCUCAGCCCAGGCCCUGUAUUUGGUCUGUAGUCUGAAUGGGGAGACAUGG
RNAcentral lists this small nucleolar RNA (132 nucleotides) under Castor canadensis (American beaver). Its description in RNAcentral is "Small nucleolar RNA SNORA51 (ENSCCNG00000022377.1)". It matches the Rfam family "Small nucleolar RNA SNORA51". Rfam says of the family: ACA51 is a member of the H/ACA class of snoRNA that guide the sites of modification of uridines to pseudouridines. Lineage: Eukaryota; Metazoa; Chordata; Mammalia; Rodentia; Castoridae. The record is from Rfam by way of RNAcentral.